AGAGAUUCUCAUGCAAGAGCCCACCUCCGCAUGGAAGCCUGUCGCAGGACGCUCAAGUAUGCUUGGCAGGACCCUUCGUACAACCUUGCUGCUGAUGGCAGUCUUCCAAAGAAAGCAGAGAAAGAGCUCUUUGAAAAUGUGCAGCCCCCAAAGAAACACAGGUAAAAUGUGCAAGGGAUUUCUGUUGGUGGAGUCUGUCUGGCCUUGGACUCCCUCAUGCUGGUACAAGUACAUUCCUUAACAUUUUUACUUUGAUUUGCUACUGUGUGUGCCAGCAUGUACAUUUUUGUCUUGUGAUACUGAUCAAAGCAUCUGGGACUAGAGGGAAGGGGAGGCUCUUUACCCUUCAGCUCAUCCUGAGCAGGGUCUUGGUAUGUGAUGUGAUACACUCUUUCUACCAAACAGUAGUUUCAUCCACCUGUGAGUCCUGAGAACUUGGAACAGAAUUCAAAGCUUUAUAUUCAUUGAAUGCAUGUGUGGAUAAAUGCCUGAACACUAUAGUAAGGUGCCUCCAAUUCCCUUAAGAAUCUAAGAAAAUACAAUUUUUCCUUUUAAGCAUUUUUUUUUCUGUUCCUGACCCAGUGAAAUGUUAGGGAUAUAACAUGUGUUGUAAUUUUUCAUCUUUAGAAUUUUGCUUAACAUUAUAGUGGUUACUAGCAUACGUGAGUUAAACCAUUCCACACAUUUAGCAGUUAGCAUUUGAGCAUGCACAGAACAGGGGCUUUAAUGAAGCAACUUAGAUUAAAAUGUCAGUGUAGACUGAUAUUUAUACUGUGUCACAUAUCUGCUUAAUAUUUUAAUGUCCUUAAGGAAGAGAUUUACUUAAAUGAACUUCCUGGUAUAUCCUUAUUCUCUUAUGAUAAUUCUUUACUAGAAACUUUGGAGCCCAGAACCCAGAAGUGACAGAAGGAAAAAUAUUUCUGCUUGCACAGAACACCAUUAUUUUUCUGUUUCCACCCUGCAUACUUCCUCUCCUCUCUCUCAUUUUGUUUGAUUUUUGCCUUUUCUUCUUCUGCUAUACUACUUCUGUCUGUACUUUCUUUCUCUUAGCUGAACAUUUUUUCAAAUGUUCUUUUAGAUAAACAUUCAUUACUUUCAUAAAAUAAGCUCAGGAGUCCACUUUAAUUUUUUCUUAGUAACAUGCAGUGUGUGUGUGUGUGUUUGUGUGUGUGAAUGUAUGUCAUAUGUGAGUGCAAGCUGGUGGAGGGCGUUGAAUCCCUGGAGCUGGAGUACGAAAUGCCUGUGAACUAGUUGGUGGAUGCUGCAAGCCAAACUCAAACCCUCUAAAGGAGCAGCAGCAUGCUCCCUCCAGCCCGGGGAUUCUACUUUUCAUACCAGCUUAUGGGCACACUGUGGGUGGCCUUGCUGUUGUGCUCUUGGAAUAUUUACCACUGCAAGGUUAACAGCUCACGGGGAAGGUCUCCCCGGCAGAGCUCAGCGCUCCAGUGCAUGCACCUCCAGGGGCCAUUUUCUUGUUACUAACAGUUUCCUUUCUUAGCCAUGUCCCAAAGCAUAGGAGAUCAUGGAAGCUGUGUCACCAGGAGUUUGAAUACAGAGAUGGGCAAAUCAUCAGCCUCGCUGCUCCUCAGCUGGUCCUGGGGGUACAAGUCUCCAAACCCUGUUCAGGCACAGAGGUCAUUUUGGUGGAAAAGAGAUCUGAUGAAAGUCGCCAACAUUGGACACACAAGGCAGACAGCAGGUAAACCCAUUGCCUUGGGAGGUUUACACAUCAAACUGGGCUUGACAUCCUGAGGUCUGGUGUGGUCUCCACACAGCAGGCAGGAAUAUAGUUGAGUACCUCGGAAUUUCUAUUUCACUUGGCUAAAAAUUCUUUAUCCUAGUAAAAGAAGAGACAGAGAGAUAGGUACGAAUUUUAGGUAAGCUACAUACAACUUUACCAGCUGUUAGAUUCAGAAAAGUGUUCUAUUCAUUUGACAGGGCCAUUGGCUCAAGACUAGGUACUCAUCUAAUUUAUGUUUGCAACAGAAAGAAAUCUAAAAGGAAUUCUAAAGCAUUUCCAAUUUUGAAAUAUUUGGAGACCUUUGUUUACCUAUCUCUCCCCACUUAAGUACCUACCCAGUUUUUCAUUCAUGAAAAGAAUUUAAGUGGUUUAUACUCAUACAGUAAGCAUGACUUACUAUUAUUGAUCAAAUGUACUAACCUAAUUCAAUGUCUGGCCUUUGGUCCAGAUGCAGAAUUCUCACAAACAUUUUCUUGAGAAGAUCAGAAGAAAUCUAAAACAACUUAGAUAUGUGAUUCUAUUAAGGAAAUAUUACUAAUCUUGUUGAUCACUGGUCAGUGGUUAUGUUGAAAUAGAAAAUGGGUCCUGAUUACUUAAGUGUAUAUUUAGAGAUAAAAAUCCAAGCUAUUUCAAUCGGUUUUAUUUUAGGUUUUCUAGCAAAAGUCUGGAGAGAUGACUCAGCAGUUAAGAGUAUUUGUUGCUCUUGCAGAGGACCAGAGCUCAGGUCCCAGAACCCACAGAAGAGUCGGUCCCAAACUGUCUGUCUAAACUCUGGGGGGAUCCAACAUCUUUCUUGGCCUCCAUGGGCACCUGAAUGCACAUGUGCAUGCAUACAGCAGACAUGUAUUUAUACACACGCUUAAAAGUAAAUAAAUCAUAAAUUCUAGCAAAAAUUAAAAAGUCAAGUUUCACAUAAAUGAACCAAGACAGAAUGUUGACAAUGUUUAGCUCCAUGAUGUUUCAUUGCACAUUUCUAUUUAUUUUUGUGUACAUUUGAACGUUAAUUUAACAAGGAAAAAUAACAUUCCUGUUUGUUCUUUAUUGCUCUACUUAGAAUUCUACCAUUACAUAUAGCGGGUUUCUAGUGAUCUCUUCAGUCUCUUGCAUACUGUUCAGGGAUGUAUAUUCAGGCAGCUGAGCAAAACAUUUCUUAAUGGGAAGGAGCUGUGACUUCCACUGUAUUCUCUAAAUAUCAGCACUGCCCAUGGCUUAGGCCUUUGCACUUUGUGGCAGAUUGAAAAAGUCCAUGGAGGUAGCAUCAGCAAUCCUGACAUGGCAGGAACAGAGCUUGCUCUACUGUGUACAAUAGAGAGCACACAAUAGCCAUUGGUUGUGUGUUGGCGAAGCUGGACAGAGCUGCUAGACGUGUUUCUUUACUCCAUCCACCAGGGCUAUGCUGUCUGUGUGGUGAGGAGCUAGAAUAGGCUUUUUGUUCUACAAGUGACUAGCUAUAUGGACCAUAAUUCACUCAUUCAGCCGACAUUAUGUAUGCAUUAAAGCAAGAAUGUACCAAGAGGAUGUUACAGGGCAUCCAUUUUCAUAAAACAAGUGCUAUUGUGGUUUUUUUUUUUUUUUUAAUCACAAACCGACCCUGACACAGUGACAGUGGAUAACUUCAGUUGCCCACUCUUACCAAUAGGUCAUCCAGAAAAAAGCUAAAUAAAGAAACUCUGGAGUUAAAUAAUAUUAUAAAUCGAAUGGAUCUAACAGACAGCUACAGAGUAUCCCAGCCAAAUGCUAAAAUAAAGAAUAGAGUUUCUUCUCGUCAGCCCAUGAGAACGUCUUCAAAUUGACCACAUUUUCGCAUACAAAGCAAGUCUCAGCAAAUUUAGAAAAAUCGAAACAACAUCCUGCACCCUCACCACCAUAGAUUAAUGUUACAGGUUAUUGAAAGCGUUGUUUUAGGAAUGGAACUUCAGCAAAAAACUAAAAAUGCUCAAGAUUCCUGUUCCUGUAGAACUGGAAUCCUAGAGCUACUGAGAUAUGUGUCAAAUUUAGAGCAACUUUCUGCCUUGUCUUUCUGGAUUGUGAUAGAGUUCCCAUGAUUGCUGUUUUAAAUUAAAAUUGAUUUUUAUGCAAC
RNAcentral lists this long non-coding RNA (3821 nucleotides) under Mus musculus (house mouse). Its description in RNAcentral is "long non-coding RNA chr2:106357027-106360848". Lineage: Eukaryota; Metazoa; Chordata; Mammalia; Rodentia; Muridae. The record is from RNAcentral.